GCGGGCGUGGCGGAACAGGCAGACGCGCCAGAUUUAGGUUCUGGUACCGCAAGGUGUGAAGGUUCAAGUCCUUUCGCCCGCACCA
Molecule: transfer RNA, 85 nt
Filed under: Candidatus Aphodovivens avistercoris
Lineage: Bacteria; Bacillati; Actinomycetota; Coriobacteriia
Description: tRNA-Leu
Rfam family: tRNA
About the family: Transfer RNA (tRNA) molecules are approximately 80 nucleotides in length.
Source: RNAcentral